GUCAGAUGAAGUGGAGAGUUCAUAUGCAGAAAUACCUGAAUUCAAUGUUUCUUACAAGCCCCAGAAGAUUAGUCCAAAGUUUCAAGCUUCUGUCAAGGGCUUGCUGCAUCAAAAGAUCCGGGAUUCAUAUAUGCAUCCUCAGUUUGUGUCAGAUGUUAUAAAACCACUCCGAAUUGAACAGUUGAUUGACCAUGAAGUGGUGAAUUUGUCAGAUGGAGAGCUGCAAUGAGUUGCAUUAUGUCUUUUCCUUGGAAAGGUUUGCAUUAUUACGUUUUGUUUGCUUUGAUCUUCAGUCACCUUUCCUUAUGGUAUUAAUAAAUUUUGCAUAUUACCACAAUAAUGAUACGAUGACCAAAAAUUGAUUUCAUUGUGACUGGAGAUUGGGCAAAGGAUUACUCUAGAUAUAUGUCUCAAGAUGGAGUGGAGAUGACACAUCUGCUUUACCACCAUGGAUAUGGAUAUGCACCCUAUGGCGCUUAUAGUCCAGCACGUUCUCCUGUUCCUACCAUGGGACAUGAUGGACUGUACGGGCCUCAGCACUACCAGUAUCCUAUUCCUUACUAUCAAUCACCAACACCACCUCCCAGAGACUGUAUUCAUCUAACCAAACUUCUGCUGCGCCAACAGAUGUUCCCACUACUGUUGCUGCAUACCAGGCCCCUGCGUCAGUAGAAGCCGUUAAUGGAAAUGUUAAUGGUGUCUCGAAAAUCGAAAGCAAGUGCUGGUGGAAACAACAAUAAUGGGGCUGCACCUGUAAAAUCUGCCAAUUCCAAACUCUUAUGGGAGAGGCAAGCCUUCUCAAGAAUUAGAGAAAAUGGAUUUUGAAAAGAUUCCAAAAUUCAAAGCUGGGUCAUUGAAUAAAA
Molecule: long non-coding RNA, 863 nt
Organism: Papaver somniferum (opium poppy)
Lineage: Eukaryota; Viridiplantae; Streptophyta; Magnoliopsida; Ranunculales; Papaveraceae
Exons: 3
Source: RefSeq, a predicted model, not a curated record